UAAGCGGAGGAAAAGAAACUAACAAGGAUUCCCCUAGUAACUGCGAGUGAAGCGGGAAAAGCUCAAAUUUAAAAUCUGGUGGCCUUUGUCCAUCCGAGUUGUAAUUUAGAGAAGCGUCUUCCGCGCUGGACCGUGCACAAGUCUCCUAGAACGGAGCGUCAUAGAGGGUGAGAAUCCCGUCUUUGGCACGGACACACCAGGGCUUUUGUGAUGCGCUCUCAAAGAGUCGAGUUGUUUGGGAAUGCAGCUCAAAAUGGGUGGUGAACUCCAUCUAAAGCUAAAUAUUGGCGAGAGACCGAUAGCGAACAAGUACCGUGAGGGAAAGAUGAAAAGAACUUUGGAAAGAGAGUUAAACAGUACGUGAAAUUGCUGAAAGGGAAACGCUUGAAGUCAGUCGCGUUGUCCAGGGAUCAACCUUGCUUUUGCUUGGUGCACUUUCUGGUUGACGGGUCAGCAUCAAUUUUGACUAUUGGAAAAAGAUUAGGGGAAUGUGACAUCUUCGGAUGUGUUAUAGCCCUUGGUUGCAUACAAUGGUUGGGAUUGAGGAACUCAGCACGCCGCAAGGCCGGGUUUUCAAACCACGUACGUGCUUAGGAUGCUGGCAUAAUGGCUUUAAUCGACC
RNAcentral lists this ribosomal RNA (622 nucleotides) under uncultured Russulaceae. RNAcentral describes it as "LSU rRNA". It matches the Rfam family "Eukaryotic large subunit ribosomal RNA", at positions 47 to 649 of the family's 3401-position model. Lineage: Eukaryota; Fungi; Basidiomycota; Agaricomycetes; Russulales; Russulaceae. The record is from RNAcentral.